CCAGAGGUGUUUCUGUUUGACAGCUGAGUCUCUUGGUGAUGGACCCUUAACUGGGCUUUUCUCCCAUGAGCACAUGGAUCAUGGUCUGAGAUGUCCCUGCCCCCAGUGUCUUUAGAAGGUGCUCUGCCCUGUGCACUCAUUAGGUUUCUAUCAACCUUGACCACUGAGUUCUUGCCUCCAGGCUUUAAGCUUCUUGUUCUUUUUAACUAGGAAGAUGCCCUGAUCUACACUCACCAGACAGAUCGAGCCUCUUUGUUUCCACAGCAGCCAUUGAAUAAUACUUAAACAGCAUGCAAACCACCAACUCAUGAAGCUUUCCACCUCUCAGAGUCCGUCAGAACAGCAUAGAGCAGCUGGGUAUGGUGGCUCCCACCUAUAAUCCUGGCCAUUUGAGGGACUGAAGCAGGAUUGCCACAACUCAAGACCACAGAAAUCUCCGCAGACAACAACAAAAAUAAAAUAACAAAGGCCUCA
Peromyscus eremicus (cactus mouse) is the source of this 474-nucleotide long non-coding RNA. RefSeq lists it as uncharacterized. The transcript is spliced from 2 exons. Lineage: Eukaryota; Metazoa; Chordata; Mammalia; Rodentia; Cricetidae. The record is from RefSeq and is a predicted model, not a curated record.